Molecule: ribosomal RNA, 117 nt
Filed under: Petromyzon marinus (sea lamprey)
Lineage: Eukaryota; Metazoa; Chordata; Hyperoartia; Petromyzontiformes; Petromyzontidae
Source: RNAcentral
GCCUGUGGCUAAAUCACCCUAAAUGCAGCUGAUCCCAUUAGAUCUCAAGUUAUGAGGGAUUGAGCCUAGUUAGUACUUGGAUAGGUGACUAUCAAGGCUUUCCAAGUGUUGUAGGAA